Molecule: long non-coding RNA, 6265 nt
Organism: Mirounga angustirostris (Northern elephant seal)
Lineage: Eukaryota; Metazoa; Chordata; Mammalia; Carnivora; Phocidae
Exons: 3
Source: RefSeq, a predicted model, not a curated record
GGCUGAGGAAGCAGCUGCGGUCUGAGUCAUCCUCCGGAAAACGAAGGAGGCCGUUUCCAUCACCAUCUGUCUCCUUGGGAAGAGAAGGAGGAGGAGCGGGUAGAGGGCUGGGGGGGGAGGAGGGGGCGCGCCUCACCUCGGGCCUUUCCUGGGCCUGGCUGGGGUAGGCGUGGGGUUUUUUUUCCCAAAGCAGCUUUCACUUCGGCCCCCGCAGGGCCCUCCGAUCAGUCGGGAGGGGUGUCCCAUGCUCUUCAUAGACAAGCAGGCCACGCGGCGGGGGGGGCUCCUGCCAAGGGACUUCUCGGGGAUUCCCCCGGGGACUCCCCUACCCCAGUUCAGGGACCCCAGAGUCUGCAGGACUGUCCUGAGCUUAGCACAGCACAGGGGGAUGGAGUACCAACCCCCUCCCCCAAGUAUUGUAGUGGUGCAGAUGUCCCCUGUCCCCUGGGGCCCUGGGAACCUUGGCCACUAGGGGCAGCUGUGGGAGGGGCUGGGCUGAGUGUAGUCGAUGCCACGCCACCAGGAAGAAUCCUGCAGGGGCUCAGACAGGGCUCCACCCCCUCCCCCGCCCCCUCCCCCCACCCCCCUCCCCGGCUUCUUAGGUGUGCUAUUUGUCUCUCUGGGUUUCUGGUUUCUUGUCUAAGAUGGGGCUGGCGGGGCAAGGGGUGUUCGGGGUGAUCGUGCACUGCCCCUGCCAUGUCAGAGCCAGCAGGAAGCCACCAGACGGUGGGGCAUGGCACCCCGGCCCCUGAGGCUGGUGGAGGUGCCCACAGGGCUAAGCCUAGUCCUGGUGAGGGCCAGCCCUCCGACCCUGUGCGGCCUGGUUCGGAGAUGUGGAAGUCAGCAGGAGCCUUUUGGCUGCAAGAAACCCAACCUGAAGGAGGCAAGGAGAGAAAGAGGGAUCGUCCCACCGAAGUCCCACGGGGAUGGGAGGGGGCCUCUUCCUAGCUCCUAUCUCAGCGGGGCGCCCUGUCCCUGGUCCGCUUUGUGUCCCCCGCCCGCUGGCCCUGUCUGCCUACACCCCACUGCUCCUUGCCCAGGGCCCUUGUAGGUAGGUCCAUGUGGUGAUGAUGCGCCCCCACCCCGGGGAGAUGCCCUCUACCCUCAGGCGUUCUCUGUGACUGGGGCCGGGGGUGUGGGCUGCUUUCCACAAGACCUUGGUUCCACAAGAGGGCAGUUCUCCAAAAGAGGAGGGCUGGUUAGCAAGAUCUCUACAGGUGCUGUGGGCCCAACCAACCGGUAGGAGUCCCUUCCCUACAGAUGGAGGCAGGCCUCUCUCGAAAGAUGUGGCUCCCGGGGCUCAGGACCUCCAGGUGGGAGAGGUGUAUUGACUGGACACCAGCACUGAGAAAGCCUCUGAACGGCAGCCGGGAGAAGCUGGUAAGCUUGGCCUUGGCCACGGGGGUGGCCAGCUGUCUGGGAGCAGCUCCUUGGUGCCGGGAAUUGAGAGGUCACCUUUUAUGUGAAAUCAGGUAGGGGCUGGGAAGGCUUUGAAGCCUGCAGGCAGGUUCCCUCCUUCCCAUGUCAAGGAUACCUGGCCCAUGCCCCAGCACACUGGGCUUCCUCCUGCCUGGGGCACAGCAGAGCAUUUCCAUCUGAUAGAUACAGAAGCUGAGCAGAUUAAUCCCAGACAUGGUAAGAUGUGUUCGAGCUGGGGUUCUUCCUAUCUGCAAGCACUUCCUUUGCUUCACCCUGACUCUGUCAUGGGAUACUUAAGGCUGUUUGCUGUCAAAACCAUUAUAGUAUCCAGUAUCCAUCCAUCCACAUACCCACCCACCUACCAUCCAUCCAUCUAUCCAUCCACUCAUCCAUCCAUCUAUUCAUCCAUCCACCCAUCCAUCCACCUAUCCACCCACCAUCCAUCCAUCCACCCACCCACCCACCCAUCAUCCAUCCAUCCAUCCAUCUACCCACCCACCCACCAUCCAUCCAUCCAUCCAUCCACCCACCUAUCCACCCACCAUCCAUCCAUCCAUCCACCCAUCCAUCCAUUCAUCCAUCUAUCCAUCCAUCCACCCAUCCACCUACCCACCCACCAACCAUCCAUCCAUCCCUCCAUCCAUCCACCUACCCACCCACCCACCAUCCAUCCAUCCAUCCACCCAUCCAUCCACUCAUCCAUCUAUCCAUCCAUCCACUCAUCCAUCCAUCCACCUACCCACCCAUCCAUCCAUCCACCUACCCACCCACCCACCAUCCAUCCAUCCAUCUAUCCACCCACCAUCCAUCCAUCUACCCAUCUAUCCACCUACCCACUCACCCACCAUCCAUCCAUCCACCCAUCCAGCCAGCCACUCAUCCAUCUAUUCAUCCACCUACCCACUCACCAUCCACCCUUCCAUGCACCCAGCUGCACAUCCAACCACCCACCCACCUACCAUUCACCCAUCUACCCAUCUAUCCAUCCAUCCGAUAUUUAUUGAAAGCCUGCCUUGUGCUGGGUGCAGGUUGGUACUUGUUAAACCAGUUAGGCAAAGUCACAGCAACGCCCUUGAGUAGGGUUGUCAGAUUUAGUAAAUAAAAAUACAGGACAUCCAGUUAAAUUUGAAUUUCAGAUAAACAAUGAAUACUGUUUUGGUAUAAGUAUAUAAGUAUGUCCUAUGCAAUAUUUGGUAUAAGUAGGUCCCAGAUAUUGCAUGGGACAUACUUAGGCUGAAACUUACUUGUUGUUUGUCUGAAAUUCAGAUUUAACUGGGCAUUCUGUGUUAUCUGUAACCCUGUCCUGUUCAGCCGGUGAAACAAUAGGGUGAUAGACACGUCCACAUUCCUCCUGAAAGAUCUAACUUAAUCCUUAUCAAAAUCUAUGAACUGGGUGACAUGACCCCCAGUUUAUUCACCUGAGUCACUACUGAUGGAAGGCCUUCUGGCUUUUGGCCUUUGUAUUGCUCUGAGCGUUCUGGUCGGUGUCGUUUGUGCUGGGUAAAUCUCAGAUGUGUGCCUGCGUACGUUCAGCUCUCACAGAUGCCACCAAACGCGUUUCCAAAGCAGUGGUGCUGUUGUGCUUCUGUCACCCGCAAAGUCUACAUCCUUGCCAAUAACUGGAAGAUUUCGUGUUUUCCACGUUGACCCUUCUGUGGGUUUGUGGUAUGAUGUUGGGAUUUUAAUCUGCAUUUCCAGGCCGGUUAGUGAAAUGGGCACCUUUUAUAUGUUUACUGAUCUCCGGACACUCCUCCUUUGUGACGUUUAAGUCUGUUUGCCCAUUUUCCCAUAGAGUUGUCUACCUUUUUCUUGUUAAUUUGCAGGCGUUCUUGACAUAUUUUCACAUUCUGGACAUAAGUCUUUGAGGCUUUGCUGCACGUUUGUAGAGCAAACGCCCCACCACCCGCCCUCCGCUCUGGCUGUGAUGUCCGAGUUUUACUUGUGUUUCAGACUCCACGAGCACUGUUGCGCACUGUGUAUCUUCGCUUGAAUUUGUCCACAAAUGUCAUCACGUCUUCACGUUUUCCUACAGUCUCAGGCCUACACCUGGAAUCAUUUUCCUUUAGCCUCUCCUCCAGUAUUCCUCUUAGCGCAGGGCCAGGGAAGACGGGUUCUCUGUGUUUGUUCCACUUUCUCCUCGGGACGGUGUUUUUGGCUGACCUUUCCCCCGCUGUCUGCACUCUGAGGAGCCAUUCCUUUGUCUUCUGGCUUCUCCUGGGUGUCGGUCACAUGUCCUCCCGCUUUGUGUGUCUAGUGAUUUGGGGUUGUGUCCUGCACAUCAUGACCGAUAUGUUGUAGGGGUUUGGGGCUCUGUGUGUUCUCUUUCAGAGCAUUCUUUUUGUUUGUUUGCUUUAUUGAGGGGUUAACUGAACUGGACUCAAACUGUAAACACUGUCCCCUCUGUGUAAAAUCUCUGUGCUGUUAACUGAGCUGCUUGGAAUCUGUCCUGUGCAAGCGGAGCUCACAGACCAGCCAGGAGUUUGAGCAGAAUUCCUCAGGGAGCAUUUGGGGCUCCCUUUCUGGGGUCAUCCCUCACUUUCCAGCUGCUGUGGUCACCCCCAACUACAUCCUCUGAUUCUUCAAGCCAGCAAGCCUGUGGGUUCCAUCAGGGUUUUGGCCUGCUCUCAGACAUAGAGGCACAAGCCUGGGACACUUACCCAGCGAGUCCUGUGUCCUGAGUGUCUAUGUCCUACAGCCUCUGUCUGGGUAUGGCUGUUCUCUGGGCUGUUGGACAGUUGUCUUUAUGUCCAGUGAUUGUGGAUGUUUCUACGCCAGACCUGGUCCAACUGGAGCCACUUGGCCAUUGCUGGGAGCAACCCUCGGGCAGUUAGGAUGGAGGAGGGCUGGGUCCCACAGCCCAGUCAGGAUGGACCAGAGCGGGAUGGAGAGUCAUUUGGUGAGACUCGGUCUUGCUCUGGCUAGACUCGGUUCAGGGGCUGGUCUCAUCAGAGAUUUAACCAGGAGCCUGGUGGGGCCCAGCCUCCUGCUGGAUACUGCACCAAGAUUUCACAAGUGUUUUGGGGUGGGUGGGACCAGCGGUGUGUCCGAGGACCCCGAAGCCUUCAGUUUUGUCACCUUUGCCCCUGUGGCUGUGGGAAGCUCCUCUGGGUUCUCCUUCUGUCAUUGUGGCUCCUUGCCUGGGCCCAGCCCAGGCCUUGGUCCAGCGCCCGGAACUGAGAAACGCUCCUGGUAGCAGGAUGGCCACCAUCGUUGGCUGUGUGGGCUCUCCCCUAGUGGGCUAGGUCUCCACAGCCCCACAGCUCUCUGAGACUUAGCUGCGAGGCUCUAGUGUGUGUGCGGCCCCUCUCGGUCGCCAGCAGGAGCGACGCCUUCCACGGGGGACCCGCCCCUUCCCGCCCUCCAGGCCCAGCACCACCAGCCCCACCCCGGGGAAUAAAGAUCCAAUGAAAGGCAGGAGCAGAAAGUCUGUUGAAAUCACUGCUUUCCACAUGGCAUUUAAAAAAACACAAAAACUCAAACUUUUAAAACAUGAGUGCCUUUUGCCCCAGUGAUACCAAUCCUGGGACUUACCUCAAGAUGAUGAUUCAGAAUGUGCACAAAGAUCAAGCUCCAGUUUGUGGAUGGCAGUUUACAACGUUGAAAGGAAAACCCUAGAAACAGUGAAUUCCCAGCGGUAGGGAAUUUGUUGAAAAAACACGUGGUUUAUGCAUACGGUAUUCAGUCACACAGUCAUGAAGAAUAUUGUGUUAGAAUUGGUGGAAACAGGAUCACGUUCUGUGGUUGACAGAAGUUAGCAAAAUCCACAGUGGUGGUGGUGAUGGUGUGUUUGCAUACACAUCACGCUCUGGGUAUUCACUAUGUUCUCGUUGUCACUAUUUCCUGACUUUCCAAGACAAUGACUGUUUUGUUGGGCUGUGUUUUUGAGGUACGACUUACAUGAAGUCCAUACGCCUAAAGCGAGCAGCCUGAUGAGGUUUGACAGACAGACCCGUGCGACCCACACCCGGAACAAGAUGGGGAGAAUUUCCGCCUCUCACGAAGCUCCUCCGUGCCUCUUUCUGGCCUCCAGUGUCCUGUGGAUAACAGAUUAAUCAGAGGAACGUGUUUCCAGGCUAGAGGAUGGACGCGAGGUUCUGAGAGGCAUGCCCAGAUCACUCAGUCUCGGGGCCGGGGCGCCAGGGCACCAGCCCCGAGGAUCAGGACCUCAUGACCUCACUUAACCUUUAUCACUGCCUGUCCUGUCCCCAAAUCCAGCCACAAUGGAAUUGGGACUUCAACAGCUUGAAAAUGCGAUGAGAGGGGCGCAUGGGUGGCUCAGUCGGUGAAGCGUCUGCCUUCGGCUCAGGUCAUGAUCCCAGAGUCCUGGGAAUGAGCCCCGCAUCGGGGUCCCUGCUCCGCGGAGAGUCUGCUUCGCCCUCUGCCCCUCCCCCACUCUCGUGCUCGUGCUCUCUCUCUCUCUCUCAAAAAUAAAAAUCUUAAAAAAAAAAAGAAAACGCCACGUGAGAAGAUGGUGAAGGUUGUGUGUGUGCAUGAGCGUACUGGUGGGGGGGUGGUCCCAGCCUCCCCAGCCCGCGCUCCCCAGGCCCUGUCCAGAGAUGACAGAAUGACCUCAUCCACGUAUGGGCAGGUGUCCCAGGGGCCCCCUCUAACCAGCCACAGGUGCCCACUCUGCAGGGGCUAAGACCUCAUCAUGCAGUGACAUUUCAGAUGGCAGGAGAGCGGAGCAGAGCUUUCGGGGGCCGUCUUCCUCACCAGGGCACCUCCACGGCCUGUCUUCUGUGUCCUGUCCCGAUUCAUGGCGAAUACGGGCUCUUUCCCACUCAACCUGGGAAAGCCACCACAGCAGAUAAGGAUGGAUUUAGGGAACCAGAAAAACCAAACAAGA